CUUUACUAUAUGCUGACAUUGAUGCAUCGGUUUGCGUGCGCAGGAUAGGUGGGAGUCUUUGAAGUCGUGGCUUCGGCUGCGAUGGAGACAUCCUUGAGAUACCACCCUCGCGUUCUGAUGUAUCUCACCCGAGUGACGACACGUCCUCGGAGACAGUGUUUGCUGGGUAGUUUAACUGGGGCGGUUGCCUCCUAAAGUGUAACGGAGGCGUGCAAAGGUCCACUAGCGCCGGAUGGAAAUCGGCGUAGUCGUAUAAUCGCAAAAGUGGGCCUAACUGUGAGACUUACAGGUCGAGCAGAGACGAAAGUCGGUGAUAGUGAUCCGGUACCCGAGGAAUUUAUCUUCCUCUAACCACGUGGGUGGGGUA
Molecule: ribosomal RNA, 367 nt
Filed under: uncultured organism
Description: bacterial LSU rRNA
Rfam family: Bacterial large subunit ribosomal RNA
Source: RNAcentral